GUGAGGGAGGAGCUUCAUCCCGCAAGUCCAGUUGCAAAGCAACCAGACUGUGGUGCCAGUGUUAAGAUGUAAUGCUGGCACUGUGGAACCAGAGUUCCAGGCAGCAGACCUCACUACAAACUGAAGAUCACCUUUUCACUUCACUCAAAGUUCUCAGACUGGAGAUGAUGGACGAAUAGCUGGAACUUGUGUGAACACUGAAAGCUACAGUGAUGAAGGCUUAUGGACUGAGAUUCCCUGUAGUCAGAACUGGCAGUUUUGCUGAGCUCUGGAUACCAGGACACUUAAGACUGAUGAUGGCAUGUAGGAGGAGGAUGCUGCUGUAAUUCUACCAAGCAGAAUCUGAAAAAAAACGCAGGGGCUUUGUAAAGCCCACUGCCAGGAAGUGACAAACUUUUACAAGCCUCA
Long non-coding RNA from Hemicordylus capensis (graceful crag lizard), 408 nucleotides. RefSeq lists it as uncharacterized. Lineage: Eukaryota; Metazoa; Chordata; Lepidosauria; Squamata; Cordylidae. The transcript is spliced from 4 exons. The record is from RefSeq and is a predicted model, not a curated record.